UACGUAGGGUGCAAGCGUUGUCCGGAAUUAUUGGGCGUAAAGAGCUCGUAGGCGGUCUGUUACGUCCGCUGUGAAAACCCAGGGCUUAACCCUGGGCUUGCAGUGGAUACGGGCAGACUAGAGGCAGGUAGGGGAGAAUGGAAUUCCCGGUGUAGCGGUGAAAUGCGCAGAUAUCGGGAGGAACACCGGUGGCGAAGGCGGUUCUCUGGGCCUGUACUGACGCUGAGGAGCGAAAGCGUGGGGAGCGAACAGG
RNAcentral lists this ribosomal RNA (253 nucleotides) under uncultured bacterium. RNAcentral describes it as "partial 16S ribosomal RNA". It matches the Rfam family "Bacterial small subunit ribosomal RNA", at positions 524 to 776 of the family's 1533-position model. The record is from RNAcentral.